RNAcentral lists this ribosomal RNA (515 nucleotides) under uncultured bacterium. RNAcentral's name for it is "bacterial SSU rRNA". It matches the Rfam family "Bacterial small subunit ribosomal RNA", at positions 28 to 442 of the family's 1533-position model. The record is from RNAcentral.
GACGAACGCUGGCGGCGUGCUUAACACAUGCAAGUCGAACGAUUUAGUCGUCGGUCAUCAGACGUCAGACGUCAGGGGAACGAAUGGAACUGAAGAAAGAACUCGCUUUAGCGAAAUCUAUUCCGAAACCCUUACGACCGAUGUCCGAUGACUGACGACCGAAUAGUGGCGGACGGGUGAGUAACGCGUGGGCAACCUACCCAUAAGAGGGGGAUAACAGCUGGAAACGGCUGCUAAUACCGCAUAAGCUUUUUAGGACACAUGUUUUAGAAAGUAAAGGAGGCUUUAGCUUCCGCUUAUGGAUGGGCCCGCGUCUGAUUAGCUAGUUGGUAGGGUAACGGCCUACCAAGGCAACGAUCAGUAGCCGGCCUGAGAGGGUGGACGGCCACACUGGGACUGAGACACGGCCCAGACUCCUACGGGAGGCAGCAGUGGGGAAUAUUGCGCAAUGGGGGAAACCCUGACGCAGCGACGCCGCGUGAGCGAAGAAGGCUCGGUGUAAGCUCUGUGUAGGA